This is a long non-coding RNA of Alosa alosa (allis shad), 139 nucleotides long. RefSeq lists it as uncharacterized. The record is from RefSeq and is a predicted model, not a curated record. The transcript has 2 exons. Lineage: Eukaryota; Metazoa; Chordata; Actinopteri; Clupeiformes; Clupeidae.
UGUUUGGGGCGAGCUGUGUGGGGAAUGGAGUAGGGCAGGGACGUUGGUGGUGCAGACACUGGAGCUGGACUUUGAGAGGGACGAGAGAGAGAGAGAGAGAGAGAGGGAGAGAGAGAGAGAGAGAGAGAGAGAGAGAGAG